RNAcentral lists this long non-coding RNA (4625 nucleotides) under Brassica napus (rape). RNAcentral describes it as "long non-coding RNA (BNAP_LNC017834)". Lineage: Eukaryota; Viridiplantae; Streptophyta; Magnoliopsida; Brassicales; Brassicaceae. The record is from RNAcentral.
GGUGGAAGAAAAAAUGAUGGAGAUGUGGCGACAAUGGUGGAAACGAUGAUGAUGGUGGCAAAAAAUAAAAUAAUCGUAUAUGGUGGUGAAAAAGAAAACAGUGGACACAAUGGUAGAAGCGGUGAUAGGAGCAAAAAAUGAAACAACCAACGAUAACAAUGGUGGUAAUGUUAAAAAUAGAAAUGAUUGCGGCAAAAGAAAGUGAAAUGAUCAGAGAUAGAAAAAAUAAAAUUAUAAACUGAGAGAGAAAAAGAAAAUGUGUGGUGUGUGUGAUACAAAGGUAAAUAAUCAAUUAAACAUAACAUACAUAGAAUAUCAUAGUCAAUCAUGUGUUAUGUGUAGAAACUUAAUUUUUCAUAUACCAUGGACAUGUGACCUAAUUUCUCUGUAAAGAAAACAAUUGGUAUGAAUUCAUAUUUCAAAUGCAAGUAUAGCUUUCUUAUUAAAAUGUUUUAUAUAUUUUUGGUUCGAACAAAAAUGUUUUUAUAUUAAAAUGUUUUAUAUUGUUAAAGGCCCAUAAAAUAUUCAUUUUUGGUAAACUUCCAAAAUAACCUUCGAAAAUACUAGAAAGUUAAAUCUCUAACGAAUGGAAAUAACACAAAUUAAUAUAUUUUGUUAGAUAUGUUUUUAGUUUGCACGUAUGCAUUUAUUUUGGGAUAUGUAUCAGAAGAAGAAAAGCACACAAUCACUACAAAAAAGGGUAGUCUUACAUCAUUUAUUUUGAAUAUUUGCAUUACUUAUAAAUAAUGUAAAAGAGUUUUACAUCACUUAAAAAAUGACUCUGGAAGUGGUGAUGCAAAUAAUUACAUCAAUUCAUUUAAUAAUUGAUGCAAAAAUAUAAAUUAUUUACAUCAUUUACAUAAAUGAUGUUAUUAUGUAUCAAUUUCUGAUAAAUGAUAUUAGUUCUUACAUCAACUAUAUUAAAUGAUGUAAGUAUUUCUAUCAAUUAAAAUAAUUGAUUUAAUAAUUUGUAUCACUUAUAAAUAACUGACAUAUAAUUAAGGGUUUUGUGCAAAAAAACUCUCAAUGUGCAAAAAAACCCUAUAAUUAAUAUCAAUUUUAAGAAGUGAUUCAAAAAAUGUAUCAUUUAUAAUUACUGAUUUAAAGUAUUGUUAUCAUUUACUUAUAAUUGAUGUUACAUUUAUUUCAGUUUUCACAAAUGAUUCUAAUUAAAUGUAUCACUUAUAAAAAGUGAUGAAAAUAUUUUUUAUUUCCGUAUUUAUUAUUAAUCUACUAAUAAUAGUAAUCCCAAUUAAUUUCAAAAGUUGUUAAUCCACUUAUGUUGAAAUGUUGUGUAUUUUGUAAAAGAUGUCUAAAAGGUUGUGUCUUUUACAAAAAUGUUGGAAGGUUGUGUCUUUUAUAAAAAAUGUCUAAAGGUUGUGACUAUUUAUAUAAGUAUCUUUUAAAAAGUGAAAAGUUGUGACUAUAAGUAUCUUUUCAAAAUAACUACUUUUAUAUUGGAAAAAUGCGAUUAUUCAAAUUGAAGAGUUGUGACUAUUCAAAUAGAUUUUUAAAAUCUAUAAAUAGUCGAUGUCCAUGCAUUUGUCAAAGUAAAAUUUUCACUAAUCUCACUAAUUAUAAAAUGGUGAAAAAAAGUUCUAUGCAGUUAUUUGGUUACCAAAUUUUAAAAGAUAUUCAAAUGAAAUUUUGUCAACAAAAAAUAGUAGAAAGAGUUUUACGUGUUUGCCAAAAUCCUAAACGAAACAAUGUUAUUAGAUAAAAAGGUUUGUCUCCCACUAAACAAUACACUAAAGAGAAAUAUUAAUUUCUUUCAAUUGAAAUCUGGAAAGCAUCGUCUUCUUCAUCUCCCUCACAUUUUAUUUGUUAAUUUCUCCAAACCUCUGAACCCUCUCGCAUUUCUAAAUGUAUUUCGUGAGACUCGUCUUCAUGCUCUGUUAGUUUCUGUCUUGAUUUCCAUUGGAUUUUUAGAUUUCUUUUACUUGCUUAUUUACUUCUAAAAUGUAUUGUGUUAGUGGAAGAUGGUUCUUCGCUUUCCAACAUUUAGUGGGAUGAUAUCACGAUGAUGACGAAGCAUUAUAAGAAUGAUUUUGCUGUUGUUGAUUAAAAGGUAGCAAAGACUUUCAAGUCUUUGGCUAAUAUCUCAACAGCUUUUGCUCUGUCAUUACUGAAACAAACACACACAAAUGUAAAAUCAAUUCAAGAAAGAACACACUAGUCUUUAAAUUCAAGCAAGAAUAAACCAUUUACCGAUCUAGAGCUUCGAGAUACUUUUGCUUCCUGAUCUCAAAGAAAAUCUUCAUAGAGUAACGAUUAUCAUCAACUUUGGUAAACCCUGAGAGAUACUUCUCCACUUCGUCCCACUCACCAGCUAAAGCUUUCUCUUCAAAGUACUUUAUAUUAAAGUAGAACCCAGAUUCCUGCUCUAGCCUUUUAACACACACACAAAUCAAAACCAAAAUUACAAAAACUCAUCCAACACAAAAUCUUAACAGACAAAGAAAGAACAAAAAGACUUACUUGUGAACAGAUUCCUUGAACUUCUCUUCAUCUAAGAACUGGAGGAUUAAGAAAACUAACUCUCUGCUCAGAGACGACAUUUCAUUAAACUCUCGAGGUUCGGAUCUGGUGUGUUCGUGUGAGACGGGUCUUGAUUUAAGUCGUCGUCUGGAAAUGGUUUUCUAGGGUUUUUUUGUUCUCCUCCAUCUACAAACGAUAAAGGCUGACCCCCAGAGACAGAGAUAGAAGGUUGAUAAGAUAUCUCGCUUAUCAGUGAUAAGCGCUCUUGUUGUUAUAUAAGCUGAUAUCCUCGUUGAUCUGCGCUGUUUGGUCUGAUCCUUUUGCUUGGAUUUUAUCUGAUGCGCUUACGCCUACGAAAAAGCGGAAGUGUGGAUCCAAGAACUCUCUGUCGGUAGUCUAUAAUAACACGUGGCGUAUUAUUGUGCGGAUCUGUUAAAUGAAAAAGGUGGGAUGCAAAGUAGAUGAUAAUAACUCGUAAGUGGACGCGGAUUCGAGAGAUGGAAUUGAACUGGAUUGAGCAGAGUUCACUUGCGUCCGCCACAUGUUACGUUGUCAGGAGGGAUGACGUGGUCUCGGUAUCUCCGUUCAUCUCGUAGCGCGAUUUUGUCGGCUGGUUAUUAAAAUAUUAGUUGUACGUGAGCAGUGAGCUGCAGUGAAAAAAAAAAAAAAUUGUGCGUGAGCUGAUUCAUAGUGAAAACAGUUUUUUUUUUAAUUGUGUAAAUGUUAAGAAGAUAUAAAGAAAGCACAAUUUGUUGGAUAUUCAUAAGAAUCAUAAAAAUGAAGAAUAUACUCAUUUUACGGUAUUAUCUUUUCGAUGUGAUAAGUUACGCCUAAAAAAUGACUGAUUUUCUCCUUUGGAGCGCGUGCGCGUGGAGAAAAAAUUCAAAGUGAAAAGAAAAGACAGACAAUAGACUCUACUAUAUUCAGUGUAGUAUGGUCAUAUUAUCAAACACACAAAUGGUUUCCAAAUACAAUUUAUACUUCCAUAUGUGUCAUUGCAUAAGUUCUAAGUGGUGUACUGUAUUUGUUGUGAGAAAAGAAAACUGAAAUAGAUGAAGAAAGUGCUUUAAGAAACAUGGAAAUAAACAGACGGUUGCAAAAUACAUUUGUAAACUAUACUAUAUUACAAACAUUAUAGUAUUGUAAUUGUUAUGAGCCAUGUAAAUCAUAAGGUGUAGGAGAAAAUACUAUUUGCGGAGGAGUUUGUGGCACUAUCGCCGGAGUUGUCCACUUUUCAAUUAUGAAACUUAAUUAUACUAUAUCGGAUACUAUACCACAUUAUAUAUUUAAAUGGUAUAGUCUUUGUUUUACUGGUUCAAGGUGUUUAACUUUUUGGCAAUUGUCAAUUUUUAGUAAUAUAGUAUAGGGUAUGUAAUCACUUAGUUUUAAUCAAUAAAUAUUACUACUUAAUUCAUAAAAUGAUACAUCAACAAAAUAUAACACAUAUCUCUUACUUUAAAAUCACAUUUCUAUUCUAUUUCACUAAAUAGAAUAGCACUAAACAAAUUUACAUUUAAGAAGAAGAAGAGUGACUAGGCGGAAGAGGAUAUAUGAUUAGUAGAGAAGAUAAACUGGUUCAAUUGCCAAAGUUGGUGAGAAAAAGUAACCAUUGCAUAAGAUGGAAGAGAAAAUGAGACAGUGGAAAAAAGUAAAGAGAUAACCAGUGGUGACAGUGGUGGAAGAAAAAAUGAUGGAGAUGUGGCGACAAUGGUGGAAACGAUGAUGAUGGUGGCAAAAAAUAAAAUAAUCGUAUAUGGUGGUGAAAAAGAAAACAGUGGACACAAUGGUAGAAGCGGUGAUAGGAGCAAAAAAUGAAACAACCAACGAUAACAAUGGUGGUAAUGUUAAAAAUAGAAAUGAUUGCGGCAAAAGAAAGUGAAAUGAUCAGAGAUAGAAAAAAUAAAAUUAUAAACUGAGAGAGAAAAAGAAAAUGUGUGGUGUGUGUGAUACAAAGGUAAAUAAUCAAUUAAACAUAACAUACAUAGAAUAUCAUAGUCAAUCAUGUGUUAUGUGUAGAAACUUAAUUUUUCAUAUACCAUGGACAUGUGACCUAAUUUCUCUGUAAAGAAAACAAUUGGUAUGAAUUCAUAUUUCAAAUGCAAGUAUAGCUUUCUUAUUAAAAUGUUUUAUAUAUUUUUGGUUCGAAC